RNAcentral lists this ribosomal RNA (468 nucleotides) under uncultured organism. RNAcentral describes it as "partial 16S ribosomal RNA". It matches the Rfam family "Bacterial small subunit ribosomal RNA", at positions 332 to 797 of the family's 1533-position model. The record is from RNAcentral.
UACACUCCUACCGGAGGCAGCAGUGAGGAAUAUUGGACAAUGGGUGGAAGCCUGAUCCAGCCAUCCCGCGUGCAGGAAGACGGCCCUAUGGGUUGUAAACUGCUUUUAUCUGGGGAUAAACCUACUUACGUGUAAGUAGCUGAAGGUACCAGAAGAAUAAGCACCGGCUAACUCCGUGCCAGCAGCCGCGGUAAUACGGAGGGUGCAAGCGUUAUCGGGAUUUAUUGGGUUUAAAGGGUCCGUAGGCGGACUGAUAAGUCAGUGGUGAAAUCCGACAGCUUAACUGUCGAACUGCCAUUGAUACUGUUAGUCUUGAGUAAGGUUGAAGUGGCUGGAAUAAGUAGUGGAGCGGUGAAAUGCAUAGAUAUUACUUAGAACACCAAUUGCGAAGGCAGGUCACUAAGUCUUAACUGACGCUGAUGGACGAAAGCGUGGGGAGCGAACAGGAUUAGAAACCCUAGUAGUCCC